AUCUGACUGACGAGUCCCAUAUAGGACGAAAUGCGCAUAUUAGAU
This 45-nucleotide non-coding RNA is filed under the name Schistosoma curassoni. Lineage: Eukaryota; Metazoa; Platyhelminthes; Trematoda; Strigeidida; Schistosomatidae. The record is from RNAcentral.